RNAcentral lists this long non-coding RNA (491 nucleotides) under Homo sapiens (human). RNAcentral's name for it is "non-protein coding lnc-ST3GAL4-6:1". The record is from RNAcentral. Lineage: Eukaryota; Metazoa; Chordata; Mammalia; Primates; Hominidae.
AGGGAAUGUGUGCUUCCGGUGGAGUUUGCUGAAGUGCCAUGGAGGGAACACUAGCCUGAGAGUCAAAACACCUGGGCUUCAGGUCUGUCUUACGCAAGUCAUGAAACGAAAUCCGGACUAGUUGCUUGUUGGUUUAUAUAUGAUUUCUGUAGGAAGCUCAUGAGCAUAAGGAUUGGCUCAUUGAAAAUCAAAGAUUUCAAGAACAUUCAGCGCCCAGGGUCAAGUUUAACUCCAGCUCUGGAUCAGCCCUGGGCAGGCCCUGCACCAGGUGAGGAUGGGGUAGGGUGAGGAGUGGAUGCGUGUCCACUGAGCUUUGCAGCAGAGAAGAGGCACGGCAGAGGAGAGAAGAGAGCGCUUUCAGAGGAGGUGGUGAGGAGGGAAGGGGAGCCGCUGAGCCUGCCUGUGAGUGGUUGCUGUUCGGAGGGCCAGCUCUGUCAGGAGCUCUAUCUGGACUCUGCACUCAGGACAACAGACAGAGACAGCACAUUGAU